CUCCUGAACCUUCCUCCCGGAUCUUGUACAGUUUUCCAUACAUGACAUAUUCAUAUUUGCCAGCUAUGGAUCCUUGCUUGCCCCUGUCAUAGUAACCAGUAUCACCUGUUCCAUCAGCAUGAAGAGUGGCAGUUGUUAGCAAUGCAUACUUCUCUUCUUCUUUAAUGGGAUAAAUCUUCGUAUUCACAUCUAGCUGCAUGAAC
This 203-nucleotide unclassified non-coding RNA is filed under the name Hevea brasiliensis (rubber tree). Lineage: Eukaryota; Viridiplantae; Streptophyta; Magnoliopsida; Malpighiales; Euphorbiaceae. The record is from RNAcentral.